CGGGGUGUAGCUCAGUUUGGGUAGAGUGCGCGCCUGGGAGGUGUGUGGUCGCUGGUUCGAAUCCAGUCACCCCGA
RNAcentral lists this transfer RNA (75 nucleotides) under Candidatus Walczuchella monophlebidarum. Its description in RNAcentral is "tRNA-Pro (GGG) (tRNA-Pro-GGG-1-1)". It matches the Rfam family "tRNA". From Rfam's summary of the family: Transfer RNA (tRNA) molecules are approximately 80 nucleotides in length. Their secondary structure includes four short double-helical elements and three loops (D, anti-codon, and T loops). Lineage: Bacteria; Pseudomonadati; Bacteroidota; Flavobacteriia; Flavobacteriales. The record is from Rfam by way of RNAcentral.